This 497-nucleotide ribosomal RNA is filed under the name uncultured bacterium. RNAcentral describes it as "partial 16S ribosomal RNA". It matches the Rfam family "Bacterial small subunit ribosomal RNA", at positions 28 to 507 of the family's 1533-position model. The record is from RNAcentral.
GAUGAACGCUGGCGGCGUGCCUAAUACAUGCAAGUCGAGCGAACAGACGAGGAGCUUGCUCCUCUGACGUUAGCGGCGGACGGGUGAGUAACACGUGGAUAACCUACCUAUAAGACUGGGAUAACUUCGGGAAACCGGCGCUAAUACCGGAUAAUAUAUUGAACCGCAUGGUUCAAUAGUGAAAGACGGUUUUGCUGUCACUUAUAGAUGGAUCCGCGCCGCAUUAGCUAGUUGGUAAGGUAACGGCUUACCAAGGCAACGAUGCGUAGCCGACCUGAGAGGGUGAUCGGCCACACUGGAACGGAGACACGGUCCAGACGCCUACGGGAGGCAGCAGUAGGGAAUCUUCCGCAGUGGGCGAAAGCCUGACGGAGCAACGCCGAGUGAGUGAUGGAGGUCUUCGGAUCGUAAAACUCUGUUAUUAGGGAAGAACAAAUGUGUAAGUAACUAUGCACGUCUUGACGGUACCUAAUCAGAAAGCAACGGCUAACUACGUG